Molecule: transfer RNA, 77 nt
Filed under: Paraburkholderia tropica
Lineage: Bacteria; Pseudomonadati; Pseudomonadota; Betaproteobacteria; Burkholderiales; Burkholderiaceae
Also listed under: 59 other names
Description: tRNA-Arg
Rfam family: tRNA
About the family: Transfer RNA (tRNA) molecules are approximately 80 nucleotides in length.
Source: RNAcentral
GCGACAGUAGCUCAGCUGGAUAGAGCAUCGGCCUUCUAAGCCGAGGGUCGGGGGUUCGAGCCCCUCCUGUCGCGCCA